GAUGACUGCUGCGCAAGCAGAGGAAAGUCCAUGCUCGCACAGGCUGCGAUGCCUGUAGUGAUUGUGCCGGAUGAAACAAUAAAUCCGGGCAGCGGCAACGCUGACGGCCGCCGAUCUUCCUAAAGGCGCAAGCCCACGGAAUAGGCGAUAACGUGCCAAAGAGACGAGCGCAUGGGAAACCAUGCGGGUGGAACGCGGUAAACCCCUCAAGCGAGAAACUCAAAUUUGGUAGAGGAACCCCGAACUUUGAAAUGAAGGAGGAAAGGGGCGGAAGCAAUUCCGCAGAUAAAUGGUCAUCCCUUAAUAUAAGGACAGAACAUGGCUUACAG
RNAcentral lists this RNase P RNA (329 nucleotides) under bovine gut metagenome. RNAcentral describes it as "Bacterial RNase P class B". It matches the Rfam family "Bacterial RNase P class B". From Rfam's summary of the family: Ribonuclease P (RNase P) is a ubiquitous endoribonuclease, found in archaea, bacteria and eukarya as well as chloroplasts and mitochondria. Its best characterised activity is the generation of mature 5'-ends of tRNAs by cleaving the 5'-leader elements of precursor-tRNAs. The record is from RNAcentral.